UGAGGCGUCGCCAAGUGGUAAGGCACCGGGUUUUGGUCUCGGCACCCAAGGUUCGAAUCCUUGCGCCUCAG
This 71-nucleotide transfer RNA is filed under the name Spirochaetota bacterium. RNAcentral describes it as "Spirochaetes bacterium (anaerobic digester metagenome) tRNA-Gln". It matches the Rfam family "tRNA". Rfam says of the family: Transfer RNA (tRNA) molecules are approximately 80 nucleotides in length. Their secondary structure includes four short double-helical elements and three loops (D, anti-codon, and T loops). Lineage: Bacteria; Pseudomonadati; Spirochaetota. The record is from RNAcentral.